CGGUAGUCAUUCCUAGUCGUCUCCCAUGUUCUGUCCAGCCUAACGU
Molecule: small RNA, 46 nt
Filed under: Arabidopsis thaliana (thale cress)
Lineage: Eukaryota; Viridiplantae; Streptophyta; Magnoliopsida; Brassicales; Brassicaceae
Description: ATSL227600
Source: RNAcentral